RNAcentral lists this ribosomal RNA (253 nucleotides) under uncultured bacterium. Its description in RNAcentral is "partial 16S ribosomal RNA". It matches the Rfam family "Bacterial small subunit ribosomal RNA", at positions 524 to 776 of the family's 1533-position model. The record is from RNAcentral.
UACGGAGGGUGCUAGCGUUGUUCGGAAUUACUGGGUUUAAAGGGUGCGUAGGCGGAUUUGUAAGUCCGAAGUGAAAUCUCCGAGCUUAACUCGGAAACUGCCUUGGAUACUAUAAGUCUUGAAUGACGUUGAGGUUAGCGGAAUAUGUCAUGUAGCGGUGAAAUGCUUAGAUAUGACAUAGAACAUCGAUUGCGAAGGCAGCUAACUAAGCGUAUAUUGACGCUGAUGCACGAAAGCGUGGGGAGCAAACAGG